Long non-coding RNA from Meriones unguiculatus (Mongolian gerbil), 1432 nucleotides. RefSeq lists it as uncharacterized. The record is from RefSeq and is a predicted model, not a curated record. The transcript is spliced from 3 exons. Lineage: Eukaryota; Metazoa; Chordata; Mammalia; Rodentia; Muridae.
CAUCUGUCCAGGCAGCCAUCCUCUGGAUGUUCACCGAAUGUCAUCAAGAGCUUAGCAAGGUCACAUUGAUAGUGGGGAACAGACCCAGCUAGUGGAGGAACAGAGUCACUUACUCAGUCUGGAGCUGGACUGGCUACACUGAUGGCCAGCAAGCUCCAGGAAUCUGCUGUCUCCACUUCCCCAGGAACGACAGGAGGCAGCUUUUCAUGUGGGUUCUGGAGAGCAAACCCAGGUCCUUCUGCUCGCAUGAUAAACGCGUUCCUGACUGAGCUACCCGCCUGGCACCUAAGGUCUUCAGCUUCACCAAGCGGAGACACUUGGUGGCUUUCCAGAUAUGCGGAGCUUUGAUGGCCUGGAGAGCUUCACGGGUGUUCUUAAAGUGAAUGUGACUAUCUUGAAACGGAAACCAUGGAAGGAAUGCUUUCACCUGCUUGCUCCCGCGUUCCUGGCCAGCUAUCUUUCUUACGCAGUUUAACCUCACCCAGCUAGGUAUAGUACCAUCCACAGCAUGCUGGACAGGCCGGUCUGCGUCAAUUAGCCAUCAAGAAAAUGCCUCACAUACCAGAUUGCCAAUCUGAUAGAGGCAAUUUCUCCUUUGAGUUUUCCUCUUUUCAGGUGGGUCAAGUUGACAACUGGAGGACUGUGACUGACAUUUCUCCACCCCCUGUCAUAAGGGUAUCACCAUAAGCUAUAACCUUUCUUUCCUUAUUUCAAGAGCUCAUGUGAAUAUCAUAAUAUAAAAUAUAACUUUGAAAGCCCCACAGUCUUUAAACAUUUCAACACUUUAGGGCUUGCACAUUGCUUUUAAUCCCAGGACUUUUUUUUUUUUUAGAUUUGUUUAUUUUAUGUAUAUGAGUGCUCUAUCUGCGUGUAUAUCUGCACGACAGAAUCAGGCACCAGAUCUCACUAUAGAGGGUGAGCCACCAUGUGGUUGCUGGGUAUUGAACUCAGGACUUCCGGAAGAGCAGGUAGUAUUCUUAACCACUGAGCAAUCUCUCCAGCACCAAUCCUAGGUACUCUGAAGGCAGAGGCAGGCGAAUCUCGAGUCUGAGGCCAGCUUAGUCUACUUAGUUCUAGGAAAGCUCAAGAUACACAGUAAGAACUUGUCUCAAAAAUGAACAUUCCAACACUUUAGAAGUCCAGUGUCUCCCAACUCUAAGCUCCUAUGAACAUCAAAAACAAGUUACAUACUUUCUUAUUCCAGAAGGAAAGAACCAGGGUUUAGGAAUGACCAGAUUAAAGCAAAAACCUGCACUGUAGCAGUGUAAAUCAAAUCUGUAGCCCAGCCUCUGGAGCCCUUCUGUGUGACCACAGGCGGGAGAGGAAACUUCCACCUUCCUGAUUCUACAGAGUUCUUUUAGAGAGAACAAUGCCUUUUGGAUGUGUGUGGCUUUGUUACUGAAUUAAAUAAAAGGAGGAGGACAUGAUUAAA